UGGAGUAGUCCUAUGAAAUAUCCAAGUGAAGAUGAUGUUUAUCUUAAGUUAGGAGACAGAAGCAGGAAUUAGCUACACAAACAAGGCAGGAAAGGGCCUUCCAGGUAGAAGAAAUAGGGCACAUAAAGGAAUGAAUUAUGAGAUCACAGGGCACUGCCUGCCCAACUAAGGAGAGGCUUGUGUAGAGGUAAGAGAAGUAAAGUUAUCAGGCGUCAAGGCUCAAGUGUAACUCAUGGAAACCACCGAAGAAUUUCAAACAAAGAAGCAAUUUGAUCAGAUUGUGAUCUUCGAAAGCCAGUUUUGAGGGUGGGGAGGAGGAAAUGUGCGAAGACUGAAGGGCUAACGUCUAAUUUUCACAGGAUGAACAUCAAAAUCAACUUUUCAAAGGAAACAGCGCAGACGUCCCAGCACAGCACUUACAGGCUAUUUUUCUGCCACUAAAAAUGACGACUAGAAAUGAGGUGGAGAAUCCCCACUAUAUAAAGCUGACCCAGGAAGCAGUUAAUCCAUAACUGUGUAUACAUGGGAGGAACCAAAUCUGAAAAAACAGCACUCUGUCCACACUACUGAUCAAGGAGAAUGCCUUACUGCUUGAGAGCUGCGAUGUUUCUACCCGGUGGAAAGAUGAGUAAAAGCUGCUAUUUCUAACUGGGAAGACCCACAAAGUGGUCUCGGGAGAACAGGCUUGAGUUGCACUUGGGUAAGAAAAAUUACAAUAAACUGAGAGACAGAGCAAAGGGAGACUGAGGUUAGCAAGGGUACAUGGUUUUGUUUGUGGCACACACAGUGGGCACACAAUAAGUAUUUACUGAGUGAAUGGAUGAAUAUGUAAACGACUCACCUAAUAAAAGAUUGAGGGAAUGAAGGAAAGGUAAAGGCAGAGAUGUGACAGGUCAUUUGGUUUGGGUUUGACCCAU
Molecule: long non-coding RNA, 917 nt
Organism: Panthera uncia (snow leopard)
Lineage: Eukaryota; Metazoa; Chordata; Mammalia; Carnivora; Felidae
Exons: 4
Source: RefSeq, a predicted model, not a curated record